Molecule: ribosomal RNA, 390 nt
Filed under: uncultured bacterium
Lineage: Bacteria
Description: bacterial SSU rRNA
Rfam family: Bacterial small subunit ribosomal RNA
Source: RNAcentral
AUUGAACGCUGGCGGCAUGCCUUACACAUGCAAGUCGAACGGCAGCGGACCUUCGGGUGCCGGCGAGUGGCGAACGGGUGAGUAAAGUAUCGGAACGUACCUUUCAGUGGGGGAUAACGUAGCGAAAGUUACGCUAAUACCGCAUAUUCUGUGAGCAGGAAAGCAGGGGAUCGCAAGACCUUGCGCUGAUUGAGCGGCCGAUAUCAGAUUAGCUAGUUGGUGAGGUAAAGGCUCACCAAGGCGACGAUCUGUAGCGGGUCUGAGAGGAUGAUCCGCCACACUGGAACUGAGACACGGUCCAGACUCCUACGGGAGGCAGCAGUGGGGAAUUUUGGACAAUGGGGGCAACCCUGAUCCAGCCAUGCCGCGUGAGUGAAGAAGGCCUCGGUU